AUACGGAGGACGCGAGCGUUAUCCGGAUUCAUUGGGUUUAAAGGGUGCGCAGGCGGCCGUGCAAGUCAGCGGUGAAAGCCCGGGGCUCAACCCCGGAAGUGCCGUUGAUACUGCAUGGCUGGAAUGCGGUCGAGGCGGGCGGAACGUGGCGUGUAGCGGGGAAAUGCGUAGAUAUGCCACAGAACGCCGAGAGCGGAGGCAGCGCGCCGGGCCUGCAUUGACGCUCGGGCACGAAAGCGUGGGGAUCGAACAGGAUUAGAUACCCUGGGAGUCCACGCCGUAAACGAUGGGCGCUCGUCGUCGGCGGCAGACAGUCGGCGGCCAAGCGAAAGCGAUAAGCGCCCCACCUGGGGAGUACGGUCGCAAGGCUGAAACUCAAAUGAAUUGACGGGG
This 393-nucleotide ribosomal RNA is filed under the name uncultured bacterium. RNAcentral's name for it is "partial 16S ribosomal RNA". It matches the Rfam family "Bacterial small subunit ribosomal RNA", at positions 523 to 918 of the family's 1533-position model. The record is from RNAcentral.